RNAcentral lists this ribosomal RNA (16 nucleotides) under Conium maculatum (poison hemlock). RNAcentral describes it as "partial 26S ribosomal RNA". Lineage: Eukaryota; Viridiplantae; Streptophyta; Magnoliopsida; Apiales; Apiaceae. The record is from RNAcentral.
CUGUGACCCCAGGUCA